Long non-coding RNA from Sardina pilchardus (European sardine), 3217 nucleotides. RefSeq lists it as uncharacterized. The transcript is spliced from 4 exons. NCBI's taxonomy places the organism in Eukaryota, Metazoa, Chordata, Actinopteri, Clupeiformes, Clupeidae. The record is from RefSeq and is a predicted model, not a curated record.
GCCUCAUCCCCCCUCCCCCCGUGUGGGUGCAGCGCAACCAGGGCCUCGCUCGCAGCUGGGUAGAACUCAUCCGGGAGAAGGCAGGGUACGUGUCGGGUAUGCUGGCGCCGGUGGGCAUUGGCAUCGCUGGCGCUCUGCUCAUCGUGGGGGCGCUCUACAGCAUCAGGAUGAUCCACCGCAAGAGGAGGAACAGCUUCAAACACCAGCGCAGGAAGCAAACCAGAGAGGUGCGCACUGGACAGGACCAAGCCAUGCUAUUGGCCGACAGCUCAGAGGACGAGUUCUGAGAUGUGACCUGUCGUCAUGGAGAGGAAGGGAUGCUCUAACUAGCCCCACCCCUACCCCUCGCACCCGCCCACCUAGUCAACACACACACACACACACACACACACACACACACACAGCGCUGUUUUUGAAGAGGAAGUUCCCCCAGGCACCGUGCUUAAUAACGCUUUCUCUGAUUAGCCACAGCUGCUGACUGUGGCCUGACUGUGUGUGUGUGUGUGUGUGUGUAUGUAUGUGUGUGUGUGUGUGUGACUAUGCCUCCGAUCUGGUUCUCUCCCAGUAGGUCCACACAAGGCUUACACCCGCACAUUUACUGAUAAACACGGUCUAUUCUGGCUUGUGUGUGUCUGUGUGUGUGUGUGUGUGUGUGUGUGUGUGUGUGUGUGGCUCUGAUCUGGUUCUUCUCCAGUGGGUCCACACACACAGCAUUUGCAAGUGCACCCACCACACAUGAACUAGAGCUAAUUUAAUAACUUGGCAAAAAUGGAUUUUGAAAGUGUAGUGAACAUGAAAAUGUAGCUGAUGUAAUGCCCAGGUUGAGAUGUUCAAGAUUGAGAUCUGAAGGUGGGAUACUGUUGCGCUCUUGAUGAAAUUAUUUUUAGUCAGGUGCGUUAAACCAAAAGAUAUCAGGAAAAGGUAGUGAGGGUUCGCACUCUGUAAAAAAUAGACAAAGUCUUUGCUGAAGAAACUCAAGAUUGAGAUCUGCAAUGUUCCCACACACCACAAGACGACUUUAGUUAGACGGGAACUGAGACCUGGACCAGACCUGGGCCUCAUCUGAGCCGCACUCAGCUGCUCGCUGGUUUGGGUCUGCCACCUUCUCACAGCCAUGCCUACAGUUCACUGAGCAGAGGACUUAAAGCAACACUAAAGAGUUUUUUGUACCUUAAAAUAAUGUUUCCAAAAUCAUUUCAGUGGUUCAUCAACUCGUAACAGGGUGAACGGCCCUCUAUCGGCUAUAACCGCACUAUGUAAGUUCACCAGAUCUGUAGUUCGAUGGAAUGAGACAUAAGAAACUACAAAUUUGACUUGCUUCGAUGUCGCAAUACAUCAUACUUUCAUAAAAUCAUGCAACAUACUCUACCUUGUCUGCAACAUUGUUAUUUGCAGGAUAAACAAAUAGCGUGCUGGCGAGGAGGAAAAUCGCUUUAGUGUUGCUUUAAGAGUCCACACAUGUCCAGUGCUCAUCGCAGACCAGCCCAGCUGCCCUCUGGCCCAAUCACAGACCAGCCCAGCUGCCCUCUGGCCCAAUCACAGACCAGCCCAGCUGCCCUCUGGCCCAAUCACAGACCAGCCCAGCUGCCCUCUGUCCCAAUCACAGACCAGCCCAGCUGCCCUCUGGCCCAAUCACAGACCAGCCCAGCUGCCCUCUGGCCCAGCCACACAGGCUCUGUAAAUAUCCUGCUGCAAUCCCUGAAUUAUUGAAUUCAAUUAGAUGUAAAUUAAAUACAGAAACAACGCAGGCCACAAUCAGUGUUAACAUUUCUGCAGCUCAAACCAGCAAAAGAGAAUUAGCAUAAUGCAGUAAGAUUAAGAGUAGGACUUUGAUUAUAUACAAAUGGCUAUUUUUCUCCUUACGGAUCAUUUUUAAAUCAAGUGAUUGUAAAUAUUGACUUUUUGUUUUCUCUCGCAGAAGAGCAAAUAUGUACAGAUGGUCAUUGUUUGUUUUCAGAGCAUGGAAGAGAAAUGACUUCAGUCUGCUGUUCAUAAAUGUCAUAUCACUGGAAAGAGUUUAUUUCAAUUCAAUGCAUGGUGACCAACCCAUGAAGCCUCGCCUCUGAACUGUAUACAUUUGAAACGGCGCUCAACCUUGACCUUGAAGUGUCCAGAGUUAAAAGACUCAACACUGCUGACGUCAAGCUUGACCCUCAUCAUGGUGGACAUCGUGUAUGCUUGCUGCCACAAGUGAAGGUGUAACCCUUAGUGUUUUAAGACUGAUUACUAUCCUUCAUUCACACACACUGUCCAGCGAAUCAGAAGCAGUCGACACUGGAAUGGGUCUGUCCCUGAUUUGGACCAGAUCUGGUCUUAAUUGAGCCAUGGGGUUAAUUGAGUUCAUCGAGCCAGGGUCUACGCUGCACUCAGACAGGAAGAGACGAGCGGUGAAGGAACACAGAAUGGUAAUUAGUAAUUACGCUCUGCGACUCUUAAGCCUGAUAUAGCCUGAUGCAUAUUUAGUGCAGCGAGACCCUGGUUUGGCCAAGGCCUGGUUUAGGUCCACUCCAGGUCAGAUGCCAUCUGUUUGCGGUUUUCUCUCUCACUCUGAUAAACCUGUACACCUGCUUACUUUACGCCACAUCUGGACACAUCUACUCAACAUACCUGCCUGCUUUACAGUGCAUCUGGACAGCUCCUACAUACCUGCUUGCUUUAUAGUGCAUCUGGACAGCUCCUACAUACCUGCUUGCUUUACAGUGCAUCUGGACAGCUCCUACAGUACAUACCUGUCUGCUGUGUCAUGAGGUCAGGAGCGGUCAUCUGUCGUUAAGAGUUAACAGAACUCCCACACAGACAUAUAGGGUGCCUCUCAUUUGGGCUUUUGUACGUCCUCCCUCGCUCCUCGGGCCUCGAUCCUCACUGAUCAACAUAAAGAAUGAUGGGGCGAAAACAAUGGGAUAGCCUAUCCAGUGUUAGUUAUAGAUCAGUGGGAACGCUCCUCGAGGAUCGAGGAGGCCUGUUGAGAAGCGCCUACGGAGUCACAUAAAGUUAAGUCCUGUACCAGUCUCUGGUCACUGGCUGGUAUGUAAUGGAUACCCUCUCCUGUCUUUGCCUCUGUGCAGUGCCAUCUAGGUUUCCUCUGUAAUGCGAAUGCACUGAUUGCCCGUGCCCAUGUAUUUAUGCUUUAAGUGUCGUGUGGCCUAUGAUGACAACAGCCAUGUUUGGGUCUGUUCUACUGUUGACAAUCUGUGACUCCCAAUAAACUCACCUUUGA